This 444-nucleotide unclassified non-coding RNA is filed under the name Bombus terrestris (buff-tailed bumblebee). Its description in RNAcentral is "misc RNA ENSBTSG00005023355.1". The record is from RNAcentral. Lineage: Eukaryota; Metazoa; Arthropoda; Insecta; Hymenoptera; Apidae.
GACCCACAGUGUCAGGCAACGUGUCAAUCUUUUUCACUGUGAAUUAAAACGACGAUGUGCUGCAAUAAAACUACGUUGGAAAAUUUUUAAGAAAUAUUGUUUCAUAUGAAUUUUAUAAAUAUAAUUAUUCACCUAUUGAUUAAUAACCGCCCAUACGGUAGAUUUUGAAGUAACAAACGUUUUAUUCAUUCGAGUAUCGUGGUGACAAUUAUAAAUCUUAAUGGAUCUAAAUAAAUUUUAUUUUGUUGUUUUCUACAAGCUCGUGAGAGCUUCACGAUGAAAAGGUUAAAGAGCGAGGAGAAGCACACGUGGAUUUCGGAUAUAAUUAUUUAUUUAUUGAUUAAUAACUUCCCAAACUCCCCAACUUCCCAUAUGGCGGAUUUUGGAAUAACAAACACAUUAAUGAUUCAUAUAUCGUCGUGGCAGAUAUAAAGCUAAACCAUU